RNAcentral lists this unclassified non-coding RNA (233 nucleotides) under uncultured fungus. Its description in RNAcentral is "sequence contains ITS1". The record is from RNAcentral. Lineage: Eukaryota; Fungi.
GUAUUGUAUUGCGUUAAACGCGGUGCGCAUUCCAUAAGACUUUAUUACAGGGUGUGUGUAAAGGUGUAGAACCACAGCAGGGGGGACAGAGUCCCCCAAGCCAUAGAACUACGUUGGGUGCACAGGUGUGAGUGGAUGUGUAAACAGAGCGUGCACAUGCCCCCGUUUGGGGACCAGCAACAACUCGUGUCAACAAUUCAGUAAUGAUCCUUCCGCAGGUUCACCUACGGAAA